This 564-nucleotide ribosomal RNA is filed under the name uncultured bacterium. RNAcentral's name for it is "bacterial SSU rRNA". It matches the Rfam family "Bacterial small subunit ribosomal RNA", at positions 93 to 644 of the family's 1533-position model. The record is from RNAcentral.
GAGCGGCGGACGGGUGAGUAACACGUGGGUAACCUGCCCAAGAGACUGGGAUAACACCUGGAAACAGAUGCUAAUACCGGAUAACAACACUAGACGCAUGUCUAGAGUUUGAAAGAUGGUUCUGCUAUCACUCUUGGAUGGACCUGCGGUGCAUUAGCUAGUUGGUAAGGUAACGGCUUACCAAGGCAAUGAUGCAUAGCCGAGUUGAGAGACUGAUCGGCCACAUUGGGACUGAGACACGGCCCAAACUCCUACGGGAGGCAGCAGUAGGGAAUCCUCCACAAUGGACGAAAGUCUGAUGGAGCAACGCCGCGUGAGUGAAGAAGGGUUUCGGCUCGUAAAGCUCUGUUGGUAGUGAAGAAAGAUAGAGGUAGUAACUGGCCUUUAUUUGACGGUAAUUACUUAGAAAGUCACGGCUAACUACGUGCCAGCAGCCGCGGUAAUACGUAGGUGGCAAGCGUUGUCCGGAUUUAUUGGGCGUAAAGCGAGUGCAGGCGGUUCAAUAAGUCUGAUGUGAAAGCCUUCGGCUCAACCGGAGAAUUGCAUCAGAAACUGUUGAACUUG